This 1211-nucleotide long non-coding RNA is filed under the name Homo sapiens (human). RNAcentral describes it as "HSALNT0101411". The record is from RNAcentral. Lineage: Eukaryota; Metazoa; Chordata; Mammalia; Primates; Hominidae.
GCUCCUCUCCACUUAGGAGGCUCUGCCCACUCACAUUCCAGGCCUCAGCUUGCCAUGUUUUCCUGUUAAGCCCAGAACCCUUCCCCUGGGUCCCUUCCUCAGAGGGGACAUGUUGGGAGCCACAGUCUCAGAGAUACUUGGGAUUUUAAACAUGAUGCAACUCUAGGGCUGACUUUGGAAUUCUGUGGGCUGUGCUUGGCCCAGAUCCCACCUUUGGGCCACUUUUGCUGCUGCUAUUAUUUUUAGUUGGUGGGGCAAUCAUUGUGUGCCUUUGUACAGUUUUCAUUUGGGAAGCCUUAGAGCUCUUUAACUCCACUCCAUUCUAUCACAUCCUUGUUUAGCAAUGAUCAUCCUUUUGCAUUACAAACUAGAAAAGCAACUCCGUAAGACUAACAAACUCUCUUCAACCAAGUAAAGGAGACUCCUUGUGGAGGGGAGCCCCUGCCCGCUCACCUGGAUGACCAUGCCUCACCUCUGCCGAUCACAUGCAAAUAUUUGUCCUGUUCUGAGACAUCCUCCUGGGUCCCAGCUUCUUCUCUUGAAGAUACAGAUUUCCAGUGCACCAUCAGAAGCCGAAGUAACUGUGAGUGGGAGGCAUUGGAGCCGGCUGGGAGGAACAUGUCUGGCCUGAUUUGAAGCUGCUACAUCUACUUUGAAAGAAGCCACAUAACCUUUGCUGCUACUUCAUUUCAAGUUUUCCUUUGAAUUUUCUAUUUCCUGAGCUGGGAGAAAUGAGAGGAUGCACCCUCUCCCUUUCUAACAGGUUAGACCAGGCAGAGGCCUAAAAAUGGCGUCUCAGGGUUUUAUCAAAGCCUUGAACUUCUGGCAGGAGCUUCCUUCUUUCAAGCUAUGCCGGCUUUCUUCAUGACUUUGAUUCACAUCUUCUUUGUCCUGCUAUUACAAAGGAGCUGUCCAUGUCUUCUCCACUCUCUUGGGGAGUAUAUGUAUUCCUUGUUUAUUCCUCCUCUAAAUCAGAGUCUUAUAAAUAUUCAGAAGUGCUGGCCAGCAAAGAGACUUGGAGUCAGGAUUUUUGGGUUGGUGGAUUUUUUUUCCAAUUCAAGCUUUUGGACACGUGUUCCUCCAGGAAGCUUGGAGCCUUAUCCUACUGCAGACCUCCAGAUCCUUUGAGGCCAACUGGCUGGCUAAUUAAUUAAUGGACCGGCUGAUUUAGCAAAUGGCCUUACAGAGGUGUUACUAAAACACUAAAAAAC